AGUGAACGCUGGCGGCAGGCCUAACACAUGCAAGUCGAACGGCAGCACAGUAAGAGCUUGCUCUUACGGGUGGCGAGUGGCGGACGGGUGAGGAAUACAUCGGAAUCUACUUUUUCGUGGGGGAUAACGUAGGGAAACUUACGCUAAUACCGCAUACGACCUACGGGUGAAAGCAGGGGAUCUUCGGACCUUGCGCGAUUGAAUGAGCCGAUGUCGGAUUAGCUAGUUGGCGGGGUAAAGGCCCACCAAGGCGACGAUCCGCAGCUGGUCUGAGAGGAUGAUCAGCCACACUGGAACUGAGACACGGUCCAGACCCCUACGGGAGGCAGCAGUGGGGAAUAUUGGACAAUGGGCGCAAGCCUGAUCCAGCCAUACCGCGUGGGUGAAGAAGGCCUUCGGGUUGUAAAGCCCUUUUGUUGGGAAAGAAAAGCAGCAGGUUAAUACCCCGCUGUUCUGACGGUACCCAAAGAAUAAGCACCGGCUAACUUCGUG
This 492-nucleotide ribosomal RNA is filed under the name uncultured bacterium. RNAcentral's name for it is "partial 16S ribosomal RNA". It matches the Rfam family "Bacterial small subunit ribosomal RNA", at positions 29 to 507 of the family's 1533-position model. The record is from RNAcentral.